This 483-nucleotide ribosomal RNA is filed under the name uncultured bacterium. RNAcentral describes it as "partial 16S ribosomal RNA". It matches the Rfam family "Bacterial small subunit ribosomal RNA", at positions 28 to 507 of the family's 1533-position model. The record is from RNAcentral.
GACGAACGCUGGCGGCGUGCUUAACACAUGCAAGUCGAACGAUGAAGCGGGUGCUUGCACUCGUGGAUUAGUGGCGAACGGGCGAGUAACACGUGAGUAACCUGUCCUUUUCUUUGGGAUAACGGCUGGAAACGGCUGCUAAUACUGGAUAUUCAGGCUGCAUCGCAUGGUGUGGUUUGGAAAGGUUUUUUCUGGGAUUGGGUGGGCUCGCGGCCUAUCAGCUUGUUGGUGGGGUGAUGGCUUACCAAGGCUUUGACGGGUAGCCGGCCUGAGAGGGUGGUCGGUCGCACUGGGACUGAGAUACGGCCCAGACUCCUACGGGAGGCAGCAGUGGGGAAUAAUGCACAAUGGACGAAAGUUUGAUGCAGCGACGCCGCGUGGAGGGUGUAGGCCUUCGGGUUGUGAACUCCUUUUUCUCGCGAAAAAGGCACAGUUUUGGCUGUGUUGAUGGUAGUGGGGGAAGAAGCGCCGGCUAACUACGUG